AAUGGGUUAAUUAUAAUGAC
Molecule: microRNA, 20 nt
Filed under: Schistosoma mansoni
Lineage: Eukaryota; Metazoa; Platyhelminthes; Trematoda; Strigeidida; Schistosomatidae
Description: sma-miR-8482-5p
Source: miRBase by way of RNAcentral